UUUGAGCUCCCUGAUCACCAACCUGAAACUACAAUUUAUUCUGUACUGAAGAACAAUAAAAACAUCACCAUUUCCCAAGAAGACUCAUGGCAAUUGCAAAUCCUUUUAUAAGGCUAAUGAAACUGCAUCCCUUGGUCUAAAUACAGUCAUGACUUUAUGUCAUAUGACACCCAGCCCUACAAUAUCGUAGAAGUCCACAGAAGCUGUCUGGGAGAGGAGGAGUAUACUGAGAUUGGGCUACCUGAGCUGUGAGUAAAGCCCUGCAGCUUGACACCCAUCUUGAGCUGGGGACUAUCACUGCUGCUUCAUCAGUACCUGCAGCCAUGACCCAGAUG
Corapipo altera (White-ruffed manakin) is the source of this 335-nucleotide long non-coding RNA. RefSeq lists it as uncharacterized. The transcript is spliced from 3 exons. Lineage: Eukaryota; Metazoa; Chordata; Aves; Passeriformes; Pipridae. The record is from RefSeq and is a predicted model, not a curated record.